UACAGAGGUCUCAAGCGUUGUUCGGAUUCAUUGGGCGUAAAGGGUGCGUAGGCGGCGGUGUAAGUCGGAUGUGAAAUCCCGAGGCUCAACCUCGGAACUGCAUUCGAUACUGCAUCGCUAAAGUACUGGAGAGGAGAUUGGAAUUUACGGUGUAGCAGUGAAAUGCGUAGAUAUCGUAAGGAAGACCAGUGGCGAAGGCGAAUCUCUGGACAGUUACUGACGCUGAGGCACGAAGGCUAGGGGAGCAAACGGG
This 253-nucleotide ribosomal RNA is filed under the name uncultured bacterium. RNAcentral's name for it is "partial 16S ribosomal RNA". It matches the Rfam family "Bacterial small subunit ribosomal RNA", at positions 524 to 776 of the family's 1533-position model. The record is from RNAcentral.